RNAcentral lists this ribosomal RNA (404 nucleotides) under Verrucomicrobiota bacterium. RNAcentral describes it as "Verrucomicrobia bacterium partial 16S ribosomal RNA". It matches the Rfam family "Bacterial small subunit ribosomal RNA", at positions 355 to 776 of the family's 1533-position model. The record is from RNAcentral. Lineage: Bacteria; Pseudomonadati; Verrucomicrobiota.
UGGGGAAUAUUGCACAAUGGGGGAAACCCUGAUGCAGCGACGCCGCGUGAGCGAUGAAGGCUUUCGAGUCGUAAAGCUCUGUCCUAUGGGAAGAUAAUGACGGUACCAUAGAAGAAAGCCCCGGCUAAUUACGUGCCAGCAGCCGCGGUAAUACGUAAGGGGCGAGCGUUGUCCGGAAUUAUUGGGCGUAAAGAGUGUGUAGGCGGCAAAUUAAGUCAGAUGUGAAAACUAAGGGCUCAACCCAUAGAUUGCAUCUGAAACUGAUAUGCUUGAGUCAAGGAGAGGAAAGUGGAAUUCCUAGUGUAGCGGUGGAAUGCGUAGAUAUUAGGAGGAAUACCGGUGGCGAAGGCGACUUUCUGGACUUGAACUGACGCUGAGGCACGAAAGCGUGGGGAGCAAACAGG